RNAcentral lists this ribosomal RNA (253 nucleotides) under uncultured bacterium. Its description in RNAcentral is "partial 16S ribosomal RNA". It matches the Rfam family "Bacterial small subunit ribosomal RNA", at positions 524 to 776 of the family's 1533-position model. The record is from RNAcentral.
UACGAAGGGGGCUAGCGUUGCUCGGAAUUACUGGGCGUAAAGGGCGCGUAGGCGGACAGUUUAGUCAGAGGUGAAAGCCCAGGGCUCAACCUUGGAAUAGCCUUUGAUACUGGCUGUCUUGAGUUCGGGAGAGGUGAGUGGAAUGCCGAGUGUAGAGGUGAAAUUCGUAGAUAUUCGCAAGAACACCAGUGGCGAAGGCGGCUCACUGGCCCGAUACUGACGCUGAGGCACGAAAGCGUGGGGAGCAAACAGG